This 75-nucleotide transfer RNA is filed under the name Patescibacteria group bacterium. Its description in RNAcentral is "tRNA-Met". It matches the Rfam family "tRNA". From Rfam's summary of the family: Transfer RNA (tRNA) molecules are approximately 80 nucleotides in length. Their secondary structure includes four short double-helical elements and three loops (D, anti-codon, and T loops). Further hydrogen bonds mediate the characteristic L-shaped molecular structure. tRNAs have two regions of fundamental functional importance: the anti-codon, which is responsible for specific mRNA codon recognition, and the 3' end, to which the tRNAs corresponding amino acid is attached (by aminoacyl-tRNA synthetases). tRNAs cope with the degeneracy of the genetic code in two manners: having more than one tRNA (with a specific anti-codon) for a particular amino acid; and 'wobble' base-pairing, i.e. permitting non-standard base-pairing at the 3rd anti-codon position. The record is from RNAcentral.
CGCGGGGUAGGGUAACGGUAACCCGUCAGGCUCAUAACCUGAAAAUUGCCGGUUCGAUUCCGGCCCCCGCAACCA